Molecule: ribosomal RNA, 510 nt
Filed under: Salmonella enterica
Lineage: Bacteria; Pseudomonadati; Pseudomonadota; Gammaproteobacteria; Enterobacterales; Enterobacteriaceae
Also listed under: 6 other names
Description: bacterial SSU rRNA
Rfam family: Bacterial small subunit ribosomal RNA
Source: RNAcentral
CAGGUGCUGCAUGGCUGUCGUCAGCUCGUGUUGUGAAAUGUUGGGUUAAGUCCCGCAACGAGCGCAACCCUUAUCCUUUGUUGCCAGCGAUUAGGUCGGGAACUCAAAGGAGACUGCCAGUGAUAAACUGGAGGAAGGUGGGGAUGACGUCAAGUCAUCAUGGCCCUUACGACCAGGGCUACACACGUGCUACAAUGGCGCAUACAAAGAGAAGCGACCUCGCGAGAGCAAGCGGACCUCAUAAAGUGCGUCGUAGUCCGGAUUGGAGUCUGCAACUCGACUCCAUGAAGUCGGAAUCGCUAGUAAUCGUGGAUCAGAAUGCCACGGUGAAUACGUUCCCGGGCCUUGUACACACCGCCCGUCACACCAUGGGAGUGGGUUGCAAAAGAAGUAGGUAGCUUAACCUUCGGGAGGGCGCUUACCACUUUGUGAUUCAUGACUGGGGUGAAGUCGUAACAAGGUAACCGUAGGGGAACCUGCGGUUGGAUCACCUCCUUACCUUAAAGAAGC